CACAGCGCCCCCUGCCGGCAGCAGGCUCCCGUUCACCUGCGGUUGCUUGGGCGGCAGUGGACGAUGCUCCCCUAGCAAUGCGGACUUGGCCUUUGCCUGAUCCCACCCUGGUUCACGUCGGUGGGUGAGUCCUUCGCAGCAGCGCUCCUGGGGCUGCACAGGGCGAGAAAGUCACUGGAAACCGACUGCUUCUCUGAGAGUAACUGUUAGUACAGAGAAUGAUUCUGAGUUUUGUGAGUGACUGAUUUCACCUCGGCUUUACUCCUUCGCGCCGCAUCCCAUCUAUUAACUGCAGCUUCCCGGGUCAGCUGAUGGGAUUACGAACAAAAACAAAGUUAUCGUCAAUGUUUGAAAGUUUCAUAAAGAGAAAAUGCCAGCGGGGAUCUACUCCUCUGAAACGCAAGAAGACUCUGUAAUUGCUGAUCGAGUUCUCGAUUGCAACAUCUCGGGAAUUUCGCGCACAGCAUUCCCAGAACUAGUCUGGUGAGGAAAUGUAAAGAAAAACAAACUCGCAGCCGCAUUUCCCGUGAUGAUCCUUUAUUCACAGGGCACAAACACUGCAUGUUUUCUUUUAUUGUUUCGUUCCUUUUGAGACAGGGCCUCGCUAUCAGCUAUGGCUGGCCUGGAACUCGCUAUGUACACCAUUUAUUGAUUGACUGAUUGAUUGAUUGCAGAUACGUGAAAGAAUGUUACAAUACACACACGUGGAGGGAUUUGAGCGGGGGCCUCAUGCUGCACCACUGAUCUAGGGUAUGAAGGCAUUAAGAAGACCAAUCUGUGUUUUCCUUCUCUCAUUUUUGACAACUUCCUCACAAUAAUCAUGUUUGGCUUUCAUUCUAAUUGAGGUAGCAUCUAUUCAUCUCCAUGCAUGUCUGUUUGCUCAGGGCUAUCUCAUUCCCCAAACAGGGUUAUGUAUUCACAGUGACACAGACCUCACCUCAGCAGCUUUUCUGAGUUUUCACAGCUCCUUAGAUCCCAGUGUCACUUUUUUUUUUUAAACACAAAAAUACCUAAGUGCUAAUGUGAAUUCCUUCAGCGGAUUAGUAAGUACUUCUUAAGAGCUCUGUGCUACAUGCAGUAUUGUACUAAAACCUGUAAAUUCAGCUAAAUUACUUUGAUUCCUGCAAGGCUUUGUACUGGGAAGACAAAUCUCUGUAAUAAAAGCACAGGCAAACAGAAAGAAGGCAGCAGGGAAGCCAUGUUUUAUUUUACUCCAAGUAUGAACUUACUAUCAGCUUCAUACUUUUUUGAAAGCCAUUCAAAAGCCAUUUGAAAUGUAGGUUUAUGUUAGCAUACUAAGGACAAAUCCCACACAUAUUUGGAGAUACUAGCCAAUGAUUGUAUACUUGUGUGUAUUUAUAAAUAUAUGGAAAUGAACACAUGGCUAGGAGUAUGGUCAAACACUGGAUAGACUUUUGCUGAAGGUGAAGGGACCAGCUCCCCAUUUCAGUAGCCAUGACAGUAACACGUGCUUGCCAUGACCUUGUCCUAGUCACUAGAAUUCAGAUGCCUGCCUCGUGGCAAG
Molecule: long non-coding RNA, 1525 nt
Filed under: Cricetulus griseus (Chinese hamster)
Lineage: Eukaryota; Metazoa; Chordata; Mammalia; Rodentia; Cricetidae
Description: lncRNA (ENSCGRG00015042727.1)
Source: RNAcentral